GGGGGGGGGGGGGGGGGGGGGGGGGGGGGGGGGGGCGGGGGGAGGGGGGGGGGGGGGGGUGCGCGGAGGUGGGCGGGGGACGGGGGAGGAACACGGGGAUAACCUACCUAGAAGACUGGGAGAACUUGGGGACACCGGAGCAGAUACCGGAUAAGAUCUUGAACAGGAGGGUUCAGUAGUGAAAGACGGGUUUGCUGUCACGUAUAGAGGGCUCAGCGCCGCAUUGGCGAGUUGGUAAGGUAACGGCUUACCAAGGCAACGAUGCGUGGCCGACCUGCGAGGGUGAUCGGCCACACUGGAACUGAGCCACGGUCCAGCCUCCUGCGGGAGGCAGCAGUAGGGAAUCUUCCGCACUGGGCGAAAGCCUGACGGAGCAACGCCGCGUGAGUGAUGAAGGUCUUCGGAUCGUAAAACUCUGUUAUUAGGGAAGAACAAAUGUGUAAGUAACUAUGCACGUCUUGACGGUACCUAAUCAGAAAGCCCCGGCUAACUACGUG
This 497-nucleotide ribosomal RNA is filed under the name uncultured bacterium. RNAcentral describes it as "partial 16S ribosomal RNA". The stretch from base 56 to 497 matches the Rfam family "Bacterial small subunit ribosomal RNA", at positions 39 to 507 of the family's 1533-position model. The record is from RNAcentral.